Molecule: ribosomal RNA, 484 nt
Filed under: uncultured bacterium
Lineage: Bacteria
Description: partial 16S ribosomal RNA
Rfam family: Bacterial small subunit ribosomal RNA
Source: RNAcentral
AUUGAACGCUGGCGGCAGGCCUAACACAUGCCAGUCGAGCGGAUGAAGGGAGCUUGCUCCUGGAUUCAGCGGCGGACGGGUGAGUAAUGCCUAGGAAUCUGCCUGGUAGUGGGGGAUAACGUCCGGAAACGGGCGCUAAUACCGCAUACGUCCUGAGGGAGAAAGUGGGGGAUCUUCGGACCUCACGCUAUCAGAUGAGCCUAGGUCGGAUUAGCUAGUUGGUGGGGUAAAGGCCUACCAAGGCGACGAUCCGUAACUGGUCUGAGAGGAUGAUCAGUCACACUGGAACUGAGACACGGUCCAGACUCCUACGGGAGGCAGCAGUGGGGAAUAUUGGACAAUGGGCGAAAGCCUGAUCCAGCCAUGCCGCGUGUGUGAAGAAGGUCUUCGGAUUGUAAAGCACUUUAUGUUGGGAGGAAGGGCAGUAAGUUAAUACCUUGCUGUUUUGACGUUACCAACAGAAUAAGCACCGGCUAACUUCGUG